UUUUAAUUCUUGUUUUGGUUGAUCUAAAUGAAGUUAUGAUUUAGAGAAAUUUUCUGGGGUGGGGGGAGGAGAUAUAUGGUGUACGAUGGACUGUGAAUAUCAUAAUGGAAAUUAGAGAAUGAAAGAAAAAUUGCCCCAAAUCCCACCCUUCCAAUAAUUCUCCUGUGCUUAUUUUUUUUAAGAUUUUAUUUAUUUAUUCAUGAGAGACACACAGAGAGAAAGAGAGAGAGAGAGAGAGAGAGAAAGGCAGAGACACAGGCAGAGGGAGAAGCGGGCUCCAUGCAGGGAGCCAGAUGUGGGACUCGAUCCCGGGACUCCAGGAUCAUGCUUUGGGCCAAAGGCAGGCGCUCAACCGCUGAGCCACCCAGGGAUCCCCUCCUGUGCUUAUUUAAAAAAUUUUCCCGUUGGGGGCACCUGGGUCGUGCAGACCAUUGAGCUUUGGGCUCUUGGUUUUGGCUCAGGUCGUGAUGUCAGGGUCAUGAGAUCAAGCCCUACCUGAGGGCCCUGCACUCAGUAAGGAGUCUGCUUAAGAUUCUCACUGCCUCUCUCUUUGCCCCUGCCCCCUGCUCUCUUCCUCUCUCUCUAAAAUAAAUAAAUCUUUAAUAAAAAUAAAAAUAAAAAUUUCCCUGUGAUACUUGUCCAAAUGUUCAUGUAAUUUAUAUGUAGUUUUAAUUAUAGGACAGAAAUAACAUUGCAUAUGGCCUGUUUCACUUCAUAGUAUAUGCGUGCUGCUGUGUGAUCUUUCUAAUUAUAGUUUUUUAAUGAUAGAAAUGUUCCCAUCACGUCAUUAUACAGUAAUUUAUUAUCACUGAGCAUGUAAGUUCUUGCAUGUAAGUUUUUCAAUAUUAUAGAUCAUUUUGCAAUGAACAGUUUGGGGGUAUAUAGAGCUUUUUCCUUGGGGGAAGAACAGUUUGCUCAGAUAAAUUCUCAGGGGUAAAAUUAUUGACUCAAAGCAGGUGAACAUUUUUCUAGCUCUUAAAAUAUAUUGCUAUAUUACCUUAAACAAGAUAUUGCUAUAUUUAUUUCAAAAACAUAUAUGCUGAUGCAUAUCGCCCCCUGAGUCAAUUUGGAAACCAACUACCUUAGGAUGAUGAAGCCCUUCGUGUUCUGGCACCUUCUGGUUCCCCAGUCUCCAUUUUCCUGUGCCAUACCCACUCCCACUUUAUCCUCUCAAAGUACCGAUCUUUCCAUUCCUAGAAUGUUUCAUGUUGUAUUUCUGAGAACGUGCCUUCACACCUACUGUCCCCUUUGUCUGCAGCUCUCAUCCCUGUUAUGUCAUCCUUCAAGCCUCAGCUUGGCUGUUUUGUCCUCCAGGGUAUAAUCCAUCCUUUCUAUCUUAUGGCCCCUACAUUCAUUCUAUCACUGUUUUUAUGAUUUGGUCACUGCUUGGGUAUUUUUCUGUUUCUUCACGUGUACACGGCAGUGUCUAUCUUGUUCUGUGUUGGACUUAUCAUGUCUAGCACUCAUAGAACUCAGUAACUACUUAAUAAAUAAAAAAACUAAACUAACCUCCCUCCGUCCCCUCCCCCCCCACAAAGAAACAUGGAGGAGAAAUCUAAUUUGCCAGCAAGGCAAUUUGCUAUUAGACAUUUAAUGAAAAACAUUUAUUGAGUAGAAGAUGUGGAGUUAGAUACUAUAGCUAUAGAAACUAGUAAGACAAAAAUUCUUGGGGUCCUUGCCUUUAUUUUAUUUUAUUUUAUUUUAUUUUAUUUUAUUUUUUAAAUUUUAAAACAUUUUUAAAGUAGACACCACACCCAGUGUGGAGCCUCAUGUGGGGAUUGAACUCACCACUGUGAGAUCAAGACCUGAGUUGAGAGGCACUAGAGUGGGUCAGUGGUUGAGCAUCUGCCUUUGGCUCAGGUCCUGGGGUCCUGGGAUCAAGUCCCACAUCAGGUUCCCUGCAUGGAGCCUGCUUCUCCCUCUGCCUGUGUCUCUGUGUGUCUCUCUCUGUCUCUCAUGAAUAAAUAAAUAAAAUCUUAAAAAAAAAAAAAAAAAAAAAAA
This 2001-nucleotide long non-coding RNA is filed under the name Canis lupus familiaris (dog). RNAcentral's name for it is "lncRNA (ENSCAFG00000052263.1)". Lineage: Eukaryota; Metazoa; Chordata; Mammalia; Carnivora; Canidae. The record is from RNAcentral.